RNAcentral lists this ribosomal RNA (460 nucleotides) under uncultured bacterium. RNAcentral's name for it is "partial 16S ribosomal RNA". It matches the Rfam family "Bacterial small subunit ribosomal RNA", at positions 338 to 795 of the family's 1533-position model. The record is from RNAcentral.
CCUACGUGAGGCUGCAGUGAGGAAUAUUGGUCAAUGGACGAGAGUCUGAACCAGCCAAGUAGCGUGAAGGAUGAAUGCCCUAUGGGUUGUAAACUUCUUUUAUAUGGGAAUAAAAUGUUCCACGUGUGGGAUUUUGUAUGUACCAUAUGAAUAAGGAUCGGCUAACUCCGUGCCAGAAGCCGCGGUAAUACGGAGGAGCCGAGCGUUAUCCGGAUUUAGUGGGUUUAAAGGGGGCGUAGGUGGAUAGUGAAGUCAGGUGUGAAAGUGUGCGGCUCAACCGUAAAAUUGCAGUUGAAACUGGCAGUCUUGAGUACAGUAGAGGUGGGCGGUAUUCGUGGUGUAGCGGUGAAAUGCUUAGAUAUCACGAAGAACUCCGAUUGCGAAGGCAGCUCACUGGACUGCAACUGACACUGAGGCUCGAAAGUGUGGGUAUCAAACAGGAUUAGAUACCCCUGUAGUC